UACGGGGGGGGCAAGCGUUGUUCGGAAUUACUGGGCGUAAAGGGCUCGUAGGCGGCCAACUAAGUCAGACGUGAAAUCCCUCGGCUUAACCGGGGAACUGCGUCUGAUACUGGAUGGCUCGAGUGUGGGAGAGGGAUGCGGAAUUCCAGGUGUAGCGGUGAAAUGCGUAGAUAUCUGGAGGAAUACCUAUGGCGAAAGCAGGUAUCUGGGCCAUCACUGACGCUGAGCUGCGAAAGCUAGGGGAGCAAACGGG
RNAcentral lists this ribosomal RNA (253 nucleotides) under uncultured prokaryote. Its description in RNAcentral is "partial 16S ribosomal RNA". It matches the Rfam family "Bacterial small subunit ribosomal RNA", at positions 524 to 776 of the family's 1533-position model. The record is from RNAcentral.